UUAGUGUUUGAAUCUCUUCUAUUACAUGAAAGACGUUCAUGUUUGUAUGUAUUUCACUUCUAACUACUAUACUGCUCUAUGUGGCUGUAGUUUUGUCUGGUUGUUCACCCAGUUUCAACUUCUCACAAUUGCGGAAAUCCAAUGGCGGGAAAUAAAAAUGGCACACUGCACUGCAGUUGAAUAUAAACAGAGGAUGCAAGGAAUUGCGAGGCCCUACCAGUCAACACCACUUCAUAAGAUGAGGAAGUACAUUGCCUGCUGCAGUUGUUCGAGAGAUGUCCAGUAUGCAGCCAAACAUGCAACAUAGAGAAGACCAGCAAGGGGACCCUCAGAAUCACGCAGACAUGCCAUCGCUGUGAGCAUUCCUAUAAAUGGAACAUAUCUUUGAGGGGCCGGGAGCAGGUCUACGCUGCCAUGCCCAUCAAUGGGGCGCUGGCAAAGACCUUACCUCCAGCCUCACCUCUUGCCAGCUUACCAACGGUCGUCGAUGGAGAGAUGCAUCUAUUGACCCAGCACUUGGAGACUUGCAAGAUGAUGUGAUGAAGUCCAGACUGAUAGACGGGCUUCAUACUGAUGUCUCUAAAUGGAGAGAGACCUAGUACUCGGCAUGAACAUUUUACUAGACAGUUUUUACUUGUAUUGUCUUUUUUUUAUUGAAUUGAAUUGAAUGGUAUCAGUCAAUAUGGGGAAGGAGAAACCCUGUGUAUUCUGCACCAUGAUCAGGUAACUCCUGGUGUAUAGAGGACACCACAUAGGAAGGUAUGAUCACUCUGACAUGUUUACCAAGGUAGCCCCAUUACCACCAGACAAAAUGCAGAUAGGCACAGUAUCUUUAUUGUCUGGGAAAUACAAUGAAAGGUGAAAGGUGAACAUUGUUAUAUUAGCAGAACACUGCUUCUAUGGUAUUAUGUAAAUGGUUGUGUAUUCUACAUGGA
This is a long non-coding RNA of Coregonus clupeaformis (lake whitefish), 935 nucleotides long. RefSeq lists it as uncharacterized. The transcript is spliced from 4 exons. Lineage: Eukaryota; Metazoa; Chordata; Actinopteri; Salmoniformes; Salmonidae. The record is from RefSeq and is a predicted model, not a curated record.